Agrilus planipennis (emerald ash borer) is the source of this 850-nucleotide long non-coding RNA. RefSeq lists it as uncharacterized. Lineage: Eukaryota; Metazoa; Arthropoda; Insecta; Coleoptera; Buprestidae. The record is from RefSeq and is a predicted model, not a curated record. The transcript has 4 exons.
CCUUUUAAAAACAAUUUUAUUUUUUAGAUAACUAAAAGUGAUGGCCUUCCAGGUUUCAUAUGUUUAAAAUGUUAUGAGGUAGCUAAUAUUGCUUAUACCUUUAAGCAGCAGUGUGAAAAGUCCGAGCAUUUGUUAAAAUCUGAUGAAACUAUCUUAGAAAAGGUUAAUGCAUUAAAACAACAAGAGGGGCGACUAAACGUCUUCAAAGUGAAGUUUCAAAAGCAGGAUAUUUUUAGUAUUAUACUACGUGAAAAUUUCAUAAAGCCCAUAAAAGUUUCAGCAUUAAAGAAGAAUACCUGUAAAGAUAUUCACUUAAAAAAAAAUAUCACUGUAAAUGAUUCUUUUGAGACAAGUCAUGAUAGUGAUCAGUAUAAUGGGGAAGAUAAUGAUGAAUUCAAGGACUUGACAUGUCGUUUUUGCAAUUUUAAAGCAAAUACUUGGAAAGUACGAUAUAAACAUGAAAUAACCCAUGGGAAAGGAAUUGACUGUUACCUAUGUGGAAAAGAAUUUACGUCGCUCAGAACAAUGACAAAUCAUUUACUUCAUCAUAAACGUAAAGGUGCCUUUCCCUGUUUAACUUGCGGCAAAAAGUUUACCCUCCAAGAAAAUUUAUCAAAACAUAUGAAAAGACAUUUAGGCAUUCGUCCGUACUCCUGCGCUAUUUGUAACAAGUCGUUUACAGAAAGGAGUGAACUGAGAAUACAUUUAGCAAGCCACAGCCAGGAAAAGCGAUUUCUAUGUAAUAUGUGCGGUAAUAAAUAUUCACGAAAGAGACUUUUAACAAUGCAUAUCGAGAAACACCAUCCCGAACCAGGAAAAGCUCUACUCCUUUGUACAUUAUGUGGGAAAG